CUUGGCGGCAAAGGGCGGAGCGAGGAGCCUUGGAGUAGGGGGACAGGGAGCUCGGCCUGGUCUCGUCUUACUCAGUGACGGAGGAGGAGCAAGGAUGCUCCCAGACGCGCCUGUCUUCAGCCGCUGGACCAGUCUCGCCGUGAAGCGUCCCAAAGCCCCUGGCGCUUUCAGCCCUAAGAAGUCUCAGAGUCCUGACCACUUCCUUGGGUCCCCCCUCCGCCCCCAUUCGGUCUCUCCAGUACCGGCCAAGAACCAGAGGUUUGAAAUCAGCUGGGGGAACCGGAACGACACAACCGCAGGGGGAUGUAGAAUAGGGACAGUGCGUAGAGUGUGGUCCAUCAGGGAGGAUUCCUAGAGAUAAGGAAACUGGAGCUCCUAGAGGGAAGUGGCUUGCCCAAGACUACACAGCCAGGGAGUAGUAGAGCUGAUACCCAAACCUUCUGAUCACACAGGGGCUGCGAACACUCUUCAUCACGCCAUGAUUCCUUCUUCGGCUACAGUGCCUACCACCUAGCAUUUUACUUUGCAAAGUGACUAAUACUCCAUUUCUCCUAGAAUAGAGCUUUCCUUGUCUGUAAAGGAAUCAGUGACUUGUUUCUCUUCUUGCAUCCUGCCCGUAGUACCAUUUCUUUCUUUUGUUUUUUUUUUUUAAAGUAAGCUCUAGGCCCAAUGUGGCUUGAACUCAUGACCCCAAGAUCAAGAGUCCACAUGCUCUUCUAACUGAGCCAGCCCAGCCCCCCACUCCCCCCCCCAAUAUUACCAUUUCUGCUCAUAGUACAUUGUUUGCUGCCUUACUGAAUGGCUCAUCUUGUGAGGGUUCUAGCAAGGUGGGCCUUUGACAAAGGGAAGCAUUGUGGUGUGUGUACAGAUGAGGCCAAGCCUGCAGGGAUUCUGCACGGUGAAGAGGAGGGUGAGCAGGUUGCAGUCCCAACUGUGGGUGCUGGGGAAUCUCCCUAAUGGGUGCUGGGUUUAGGCCAAGGGUCAGC
This 986-nucleotide long non-coding RNA is filed under the name Ursus maritimus (polar bear). Its description in RNAcentral is "lncRNA (ENSUMAG00000006507.1)". Lineage: Eukaryota; Metazoa; Chordata; Mammalia; Carnivora; Ursidae. The record is from RNAcentral.